This 1502-nucleotide ribosomal RNA is filed under the name uncultured Bordetella sp. Its description in RNAcentral is "partial 16S-23S ribosomal RNA intergenic spacer". It matches the Rfam family "Bacterial small subunit ribosomal RNA". Lineage: Bacteria; Pseudomonadati; Pseudomonadota; Betaproteobacteria; Burkholderiales; Alcaligenaceae. The record is from RNAcentral.
GUAACAGAGGGUUCGAUUAUGGCUCAGAUUGAACGCUGCUGGCGGGAUGCUUUACACAUGCAAGUCGAACGGCAGCACGGUGAGGGCGAGUGGCGAACGGGUGAGUAAUGUAUCGGAACGUGCCUAGUAGCGGGGAUAACUACGCGAAAGCGUAGCUAAUACCGCAUACGCCCUUCGGGGGAAAGCGGGGGACCUUUGGCCCCUGCACUAUUAGGAGCGGGCCGAUAUCGGAUUAGCUAGUUGGUGGGGUAACGCUCACCAAGGGCGACGAUCCGUAGCUGGUUUGAGGAGGACGACCAGCCACACUGGGACUGGAGACACGGCCCAGACUCCUACGGGAGGCAGCAGUGGGGAAUUUUGGACAAUGGGGGAAACCCUGAUCCAGCCAUCCCGCGUGUGCGAUGAAGGCCUUUCGGGUUGCAAAGCACUUUGGCAGGAGAAAAGAAACGGCACGGGAUAAUACCCCGUGCAACUGACGGUACCUGCAGAAUAAGCACCGGCUAACUACGUGCCAGCAGCCGCGGUAAUACGUAGGUGCAAGCGCGCGUUAAUCGGAAUUACUGGGCGCAAAGCGUGCGCAGGCGGUUCGGAAAGAAAGAUGCAGUGAAAUCCCAGAGCUUAACUUUGGAACUGCAUUUUUAACUACCGAGCUAGAGGUGUCAGAGGGAGGUGGAAUUCCAUGUGUAGCAGUGAAUGGCGUAGAUAUGCGUGGAGGAACACCGAUGGCGAAGGCAGCCUCCUGGGAUAACACUGACGCUCAUGCACGAAAGGCGUGGGGAGCAAACAGGAUUAGAUACCCUGGUAGUCCACGCCCCUAAACGAUGUCAACUAGCUGUUGGGGCCUUCGGGCCUGGUAGCGCAGCUAACGCGAAGUUGACCGCCUGGGGAGUACUGGGUCGUGAAGAUUAAACUCAAAGGAAUUGACGGGGACCGCACAAGCGGUGGAUGAUGUGGAUUAAUUGAUGCAACGCGAAAACCUUACCUUACCCUUGACAUGUCUGGAAUCCCGAAGAGAUUUGGGAGUGCUCGCAAGAGAACCGGAACACAGGUGCUGCAUGGCUGUCGUCAGCUCGUGUCGUGAGAUGUUAAAGUUAAGUCCUCGCAAAACGAGCGCAACCCUUGUCAUUAGUUGCUACGAAAGGGCACUCUAAUGAGACUGCCGGUGACAAACCGGAAGGUGGGGAUGACGUCAAGUCCUCAUGGCCCUUAUGGGUAGGGCUUCACACGUCAUACAAUGGUCGGGACAGAGGGUCGCCAACCCGCGAGGGGAGCCAAUCCCAGAAACCCGAUCAGUCCGGAUCGCAGUCUGCAACUCGACUGCGUGAAGUCGGAAUCGCUAGUAAUUCCGCGGAUCAGCAUGUCGCGGUGAAUACGUUCCCGGGUCUUGUACACACCGCCCGUCACACCAUGGGAGUGGGCUUACCAGAAGUAGUUAGCUCAACCGUAAGGAGGGCGAUUACCACGGUAGGAUUCAUGACUGGGGUGAAGUCGUAACAAGGUAA